RNAcentral lists this long non-coding RNA (812 nucleotides) under Equus asinus (donkey). RNAcentral's name for it is "lncRNA (ENSEASG00005031396.1)". Lineage: Eukaryota; Metazoa; Chordata; Mammalia; Perissodactyla; Equidae. The record is from RNAcentral.
ACUCAGGUGAUGUUGGUGCAGCUAAUCCACAGACCACACUUUGAGCAGCAAAGAUUUAAGUAGUGAUUUAUCUAAUUGUUUGGUUAUGACUGUGACUGUAGAGUCUAUGAGCUCUUAGUCCUGACUGGUCAUGGUUGUCUUUUAAUGAUGAUCUAGAAGCCUAUGAGAGAGGAGUUGUCCAAUAUUAUUUUAUAUGUGUUUCUUCCCACAAACUCUCUUGAAAUCUGAAGGAUUAUAUAAUGCAUCAUAGGAAGAACUGUAAUGUGUAAUCCAUAAUCUAAAGUCUAAUCCAUAAUCCCACCGACUCUCCAGGUUUCCCUUUAGGGAAGGUAUUUAGUGAGAUCCAGGUGCUCGCCAUGAUCAACAACAGGUUGCCGUGGGAGCAUUCGCUGCACCGUUACUCAUCCGGUUAUGAGGUUUAACCUACCGACCAAUGUUGCCCGUACUGUCAUUUCAGUCAAACUUUGUGUGGAAGAGUAAAACUUAUUCCUGUCCUGGGAAAUGAAGUAAAAUGGAAUCCAGGAGUAAUUCUGACUAAAAGUCUGAGUUUACGAACUUCCAGUGCUGCAAAACUGACAAUCUGUGAGUUAAUCUUUAUUCUGCACCUUCAUACUUUCAGCCUUUCAUGAACUAGAUCGCUGUGCACAAAAAGUGUAUCAGCUAGCUCUGUCCAUCUGGAGAAGAAAAAAUUCCAGCUGCACUUCCUUCGUAGCGUGAUCCUUAUGAAUCUUAAUGUGGCUGAAGUUCCCACUCAGAUUUUGCUCCUGGAGCGUUUAAAUUCAACACUACUAUUUGAAGAUUAAACCACAGUG